Molecule: ribosomal RNA, 253 nt
Filed under: uncultured bacterium
Lineage: Bacteria
Description: partial 16S ribosomal RNA
Rfam family: Bacterial small subunit ribosomal RNA
Source: RNAcentral
UACGGGGGGGGCAAGCGUUGUUCGGAAUUACUGGGCGUAAAGGGCUCGUAGGCGGCCAACUAAGUCAGACGUGAAAUCCCCAGGCUCAACCUGGGAACUGCGUCUGAUACUGGAUGGCUUGAAUUCGGGAGAGGGAUGCAGAAUUCCAGGUGUAGCGGUGAAAUGCGUAGAUAUCUGGAGGAAUACCGGUGGCGAAGGCGGGUCUCUGGACAGUUCCUGACACUGAGGCACGAAGGCCAGGGGAGCAAACGGG